CACGUAGGGCGCAAGCGUUGUCCGGAAUUAUUGGGCGUAAAGAGCUCGUAGGUGGUUUGUUACGUCCGCUGUGAAAUCCUAGGGCUUAACCCUGGGCUUGCAGUGGAUACGGGCAGACUAGAGGUAGGUAGGGGAGAAUGGAAUUCCUGGUGUAGCGGUGAAAUGCGCAGAUACCAGGAGGAACACCGGUGGCGAAGGCGGGUCUCUGGGCCGAAACUGACGCUGAGGAGCGAAAGCGUGGGGAGCGAACAGG
This 253-nucleotide ribosomal RNA is filed under the name uncultured bacterium. RNAcentral's name for it is "partial 16S ribosomal RNA". It matches the Rfam family "Bacterial small subunit ribosomal RNA", at positions 524 to 776 of the family's 1533-position model. The record is from RNAcentral.